This 27-nucleotide non-coding RNA is filed under the name Mus musculus (house mouse). The record is from RNAcentral. Lineage: Eukaryota; Metazoa; Chordata; Mammalia; Rodentia; Muridae.
UGCUGGUUCUUGCUGCCUGAAUGAAUG